Molecule: long non-coding RNA, 38108 nt
Filed under: Hordeum vulgare
Lineage: Eukaryota; Viridiplantae; Streptophyta; Magnoliopsida; Poales; Poaceae
Description: long non-coding RNA (HVUL_LNC009180)
Source: RNAcentral
UGGUCUUUGCCAAAUGGGUAUACUCAAUAUAUUUAGAGAUAUAUUAACAAAACAUGCCCAGCAAUCGCUUGGAUGCGAUGCGGACUUAGGUAGGUAAAACAUCAGAUAUUAAAAGUGGCAUGCUUAAAAGGUGUAAAGGCAGCUGCCGUCGUCGCUCCUUGCCGUUGGGUCGUAGUUCUUGGCAUUUUGGUCGGUGCAACCUUCCGGCACGGGCAAAGUACCUUGCUGUGCUCCUUUACCUGCAAUUUAAUUGUUUUGGACGACGUGAUGAGAAGAUGAGCUUGAUAUGCCGGCGGAAGAGCAGGUAAGAAAAACAGGCCUCCACUCCCUUUUUUUUUCCGAAGUAAGAAAGUGAGAAAGAAGUAUGCAUGUAAAGUAGUUGCUGAAAGUAUAAGAAGAUUGUGCGUAGUUCACCUCCUCCUAUGCAGCAAGAGAUGGUGGGUGUGUAUGGAGAAUUUUCUAACCGUAGAAGGAACCAGUCUUCAUCGCAUCCUGGUUAGCAUCACCCAGAGCUGCCUGGCUCAUGUAGGUGUCAGCAAGCUGCACACGCUUGACAUUGUCCUGCUCCUGGACGAGCAUGUGCCCGUACUCUAGCAGCUUCUCGACUGUCAUCUUUGGCUGCUCGAAGGUCACGGGCCCGUCCCGCGAGUUCACCAGCCUCUUGCCAAUGUUCUCGAUUCCGGUAGAGCCGACCCACUUGCGCACCUCAUCGUCGUACACCCGAGCACGCAGAGCACCGAAAAAGUCUGUAUCGGAUCGAUGCAUGAUACUUUGUUAAUUACUGAUAUACAACUUGUCUGCCCUGAUGAAUAUAUAUAUAUAUAUUUGGAAACAAGAGAAAUAUACCAAUGGAUUGUCCUGGGAAGGUGUCGACGAUCUUGACGACAGACUCGUCACUGACAUUGUCGGUCUGGAAGAUACCCUUGCAGACACCGAUACGGUCGUCACGGGUGGGAGCCCAGUAGAACUUCUCCAUACGACCAUCACGGAUCAGAGGAGCGUAGAGCGUCGAGAAAUCGUUACCGGUGACGACGAUGGGCACACGGGGGUUCUCCUCCUUGUUGUACAUGCCAGGGAGCUGCACGUUGGUGGGGGCAUCGGCGAUGUUCAUCAGGGUGGCGUUCACCAUCUGGUUGUUGACGGUGUACUGCGUGGUUCCGCCCAUCCUACCCGCACCAGCGUCAAGAUCGUUGAUGAAGAGGCAGCACAUCUUACCCUUCUUGAUCAUGUCUGCAGCCUCACGGUACCGCUGCCUGAUGAGCUUGGCUGGCUCUCCAGCGUUCCCACUCUCCAGCUCUCCGGCACUCAUCAUGAUGGGGCUGUGGCAAAAAGCACAGGUCAUUAUCUAUUAUUACUAUUAUCUUAUACUCCCUCUGUUCUUAAAUAUAAGUCUUUUAAGCGAUUUCAUCAAGAAACUACAUACAAAACAAAAAGAAUGAAUCUACACUCUAAAGUAUGUCUAUAUACAUCCGUAUGUAGUCCUUUAGUGAAAUCUCUAAAAUGACUUAUAUUAUGGAACGGAGGGAGUAGUAUUUCUUUAGGGAGGAAGUAGAUGAAUGUAAAUUCUUACUUGAUGCCCAUCUUGGCGAACACAAGCUCACACUGGAAUGAUUUUCCUUGACCCUUGCCUCCCCAGAUACCCAAGAUGAGUGGGAUCUGAAUUUCGAUUCAAGGUCAGUUUCAGAAUCAGAAUGAUUCAUUUUAUUGCUGCUUCUGCUAAUAAUCAAUUAAAUUAAAUAACGAUGUCUGCAUGCAUCGAUUAAUUCAACCUCCUUUUUUCAAAAAAAGAAAAGAANNNNNNNNNNNNNNNNNNNNNNNNNNNNNNNNNNNNNNNNNNNNNNNNNNNNNNNNNNNNNNNNNNNNNNNNNNNNNNNNNNNNNNNNNNNNNNNNNNNNNNNNNNNNNNNNNNNNNNNNNNNNNNNNNNNNNNNNNNNNNNNNNNNNNNNNNNNNNNNNNNNNNNNNNNNNNNNNNNNNNNNNNNNNNNNNNNNNNNNNNNNNNNNNNNNNNNNNNNNNNNNNNNNNNNNNNNNNNNNNNNNNNNNNNNNNNNNNNNNNNNNNNNNNNNNNNNNNNNNNNNNNNNNNNNNNNNNNNNNNNNNNNNNNNNNNNNNNNNNNNNNNNNNNNNNNNNNNNNNNNNNNAGGUACCUUGAUGUUGGGCAGGGUCAUGAAGUUUUUGGAGAGAUGGACAACAAGCUUGUCCAUGAAAGCAGGAGCGAUGUAGAAGCCUCCCAUGGUGUUGUCGAAGUCGUACUUCCGCAGGCCCUGGCUGACGUACUCGUAGGAGCUGAGGACGGCCUCGUGGGUGCCGUCGCCCGUGGGCGCCUGGAAGAGCGAGUCCACGAUGCCCUUCCCUCUGGUGAUGUCCUGCUGGUCGUCGGAGAUAUCGUACGCAAGACCCUUCCACUUGUCGGUGUUCCUCUUCUCGUCGAUGUUCUCCGCUGCCAUGACUGUGAACCUGUUGGCCUUGGAGCUCUUGCCAUGGUAGUUCACGGCCGAGGUCACCUGCUUCUUGAGCUUCUUCCCGAGGAAGUUGGUCGGCGUAGAAGCCUGUAUACAUUACAUUACAUUACAUAUACACACAUGAGAUGCCGCUGAAGACACUGAUAGGAUAUCAUCACUAAGCAAGAGAUGCAAUCAAUCAAUCGAUCGAUCAGUGUGUGGUACGCACCGGAGCCCCGACGGUGGAGGAGAAGGCAGCAGCCAUCUCUGUGCUGCUUGGUCGACCUUGCUAGCAACGGUGGAUGCGCGCGGCUGUGCUGGUGAUCAGUGAUGAAUGACUGCUGCUGCUCAAAGUAUAGAGGCCGAGCUAUGUGACGCCUUAAAUACACGUGGAUUGGCAUAUUGCUGCUCUGCUGUGGGGAGCUUGGAGGAGGAGGCGGCAUACACACACCCCUGCUUGUGGAUCAGCCUCCCGAUCCCCCAGAGGCCACACGCUGGAGAUUGGGUUCUGAGCGUCUUGGCCGGCCGGUUGGAUGACUUGGACCGUCAAGACCAAACGCUGCAGCUGCAGCUGCAGAUACGUCUGCUGGCCAUCAAUUCCAUGGCCUUCCACGGCCACAGAAUCUAACCAUUCAUGCUCAAAUCAUCUCCCAUUUCUUCCGUGCCUUUCAUUUUUUCCUUUCACUCGGUCGCCCGUAUAUACUAUCUUGUUUAUUAGCCAAGCCAUGUCAUUGCAUAACCACAAAAAAAGGGUCUCUCGUUGCUUGUUGGAUGAGGCACCCAAGAUUGUAUUCUAGUUCCAAGUACCACAAAUUUGUUGCUGCCAUACAUAUACUGGUUUGUUGAUAACCAUCAAGCUAGGGAUGUCAUUUGGCACCACACAAAUCAAGUCCUGGUUGACAUCAAGCACAUGGGUUUGUACUUUUGUCUACUCCAAUAAAUAUUGCCACUUCGGUAAAAAAAAAUGAAGCGUAUUAAGAGAAAAGGUAGCCAUGCAGUUUUGCUUUGAUGAAAAGAUUAUAGAACGUGUCUAAUGUUUUCAUGUAAAUGUAAUUCGUGUUGCCUAGCUCAAGUUCCCUGCUGGUAUUCUCAUUGUUUGGGUCUAGUACAGACCAUUAAUUGAUCAUUACGAUGAAUGCGAGCCGUUUGGCUCGCACAAUCUUUGUCCAAUACACCUUCUAGUGAUGUUGUCCUUGUUAAUCAACUUUGUGGUGCAAAUUGGGGUUUCCGUAAUCCGUCAAAGGGAAAAUAUGUAUGUAUGUGAUGAGUCAUGACCCCCCACAUCCACAGUACUCGUACCUAAUCAACAAGCUUCAGAUGAUUUCCACAUAUGUGCUAAUCUUCCGACAAGUGCUAAUAUCAAGAGAUAUAUAGGUUGUUGGGACUUGGGACCCUAGCUUGCAUCCAUUGGAGAAAUGAUUAAGCGGAAAAUGACGAUUUAAGAACAUAUACAAUUCCUUUCUCUUUCAAGAAGAGACUUACAAUUGGGUUACCUGUGCGGCGAUGAAUCAAAAAGUUUGAGUGGAUUUCGGGUCCAAAAUAGUCCAACAUAUAUAUAGUGCAUGCAUGCAUCUUAAGUAGAGUAGGACCUUCUACUUGCCGUAGAAGGCACCGGUCUUCAUGGCGUCGUCGUUGGCUUGGCCGAGCGCCGCCUCGCUGAGGUACUUGUCGGCGAGCUGCACACGCUUGACGUUCUCCUGCUCCUGGACCAGCAUGUGGCCGUACUCCAUGAGCUUCUCUAUGGUCAUCUUGGGCUGGUCGAACGUGGGCGGCCCCUCCCUGGAGUUGACGAGGCGCUUGGAGAUGUUCUCCACGCCGAUCUCGCCGACCCACUUGCGCACCUCGUCGUCGUACACCCGUGCCCGCAGCGCGCCGAAGAAGUCGAUGGACUGCCCCGGGAAGGUGUCCACCAGCCUCACCACGGCCUCGUCCGGGACGUUGUCGGUGCGGAAGAUGCCCUUGCACACGCCGAUGCGGUCCUCGCGGGUGGGCGCCCAGUAGAACUUCUCCAUGCGCCCGUCACGGAUCAGGGGAGCGUACAGCGUCGAGAAGUCGUUGCCGGUGACGAUGAUGGGCACGCGGGGGUUCUCCUCCUUGUUGUACAUCCCCGGGAGCUGCACGUUGGUGGGCGCGUCCGCGAUGUUCAUCAGGGUGGCGUUCACCAUCUGGUUGUUCACCGUGUACUGCGUCGUCCCGCCCAUCCGGCCCGCGCCGGCGUCCAGGUCGUUGAUGAAGAGGCAGCACAUCUUGCCCUUGUUGAUAAUGUCGGCCGCCUCGCGGUACCUCUGCCGGAUCAGCUUGGCCGGCUCGCCGGCGUUGCCGCUCUCCAGCUCACCGGCGCUCAUCAUGAUGGGGUUGAUGCCCAUCUUGGCGAACACCAGCUCACACUGGAACGACUUGCCCUGUCCCUUGCCUCCCCAGAUACCCAGGAUGAGAGGAACCUUGAUGUUGGGGAGUGUCAUGAAGUUCUUGGCGAGGUGGACGAUGAGCUUGUCCAUGAAUGCCGGCGCGAUGUACAGCCCGUCCAUGGUGUUGUCGAAGUCGUACUUCCGCAGGCCCUGGCUGAUGUACUCGUAGGAGCUUAGGAUGGCCUCGUGGGUGCCGUCGCCCAUGGGGGCCUGGAACAGGGAGUCCACGAUGCCUUUCCCCCGAGUGAUGUCCUGCUGGUCGUCCGAGAUGUCGUAGGCCAGACCCUUCCACCGGUCCGCAUCGGUCUGCUUGCCCUGGUCAAGUUCCUUUUUGGCCGCCAUGACCCUCACCACCCUGCUCUUCAUCUUGUUGCCACCAUGGUAGUAGUUCUUCACCUUCUUGCCCAGGAAGAUGGUCGGGGUCGACGCCUGCACAAGUAUGACAUAGUCAGCCCCAAUCACAUUCAUGCACGUUGGUUCACUUGCUGCUUGCUUUCAAUAGCAAUUGCCACGAUGAACGCUUAAUUUGCAGAUAUCAACCCUUCAUUUGGGCAGUUCCAGACUUCACUCGCUAUUCAAUUGCAUCCGCAUAUAUAUAGAAUUAAUUAGUCCAUCCAAAAGCUCCAGCUGAUGAACAGGGGCGGAAGGUCAAAGGUACAAUACCAGAAGUGGUGGGCCCGUGUUGAAGAGAGUGGGGGCCUAGGACCCUACUCAAAAUAUGAAAUUUCAAUACGAUUUGAAUAACUUUUAGGAGGAAAUGCUAAAACUCAAUGAAUUUGGAUAAAAUGUGACACCACUCUUAAAUCGUUUUUGUUACUCUCCAUCAUUUACCUCCCUUAUUUUAAUGAUGUUUUGCCACGAGUCAAAAUAGUUUUUAGAUCCGUCCCGUCCCGGCAUGCUGGGCCUUGAAGUUGAUGCCCCAUGGCUUGAAUGACAUAUUGAAUUACAAAACAACCUACUCCCUCCGUCUUGGUUUAUAAGUCAUCUUAUGAAAAAAAAAUCUCAAAACACUUAGGCACGAUGCAUUAAUUUUCUGCUUGUUUUUUGUUUUUUUUUACAUGGAUAAAGGAAUCAACCAAUAAGAGACAUGGAACGUGUAUGUUUUUAAUGACUUGCGACUAACUAGCACGACAUGCAGUGGUUAAUUCAUUACAUGCAAUGAUAUUAAUUAGCAAAUUAAUAUAUUUUUUUGUUUUCCUCUCCGUUUUGAUCACGAUGCACAACCUAAUAUGACCUAUACACUGAGACGGAGGGAGUAACUAAUUCAGCCAAAAGUUCUUACUAAUGAAGAAUGAGGAGAAGCAUACUUCACUAGUUAGUUUCUAAUAUUAUNAUUCUCACACACGGGCUUGACAACCGUGUGCCUCCACUCGAGACUUUUGAGGUUCUAUCUUUCCCUUCCUCCUCCACGCAAUAGCUUCGAAAAAGUGUAACCAUUAGCUUCCCACAUUUCUCAACACUCCCCGUCACCACCCUCACCUCGCCCUAUUUGUAAUUUGCAUCGUGAUUUAAUAAACCUCACAAUAGUUGCUCCUAAAUAAAAUCUCGCUACCACCUCCCGUUCAUUCUCAUCCGCGCCAUCAUGAAACAACCAUUAGUAUUGCCUAAAUUAUCUUUAUCGUGCUAACUCAAUAUUCAAGGUCAUGCCCAAACCGAGAUCAAAUGACCUCAUUUGAUAGCCUUCGCCCCAUGGUGGCUAGCCAUCCGCUGCCCACCCCAUCACCCUAGACUCACCCGAGAGUUUGGAUACCCUAACCCGCUACCCAAACCCGAACUGAACCAAAAUACCCGAAUUGUCGGGUAAUAUGGGUAUCGGGUUAAGGUUUGGUUCUCAUUUCCUGGCUAUUCGGUUUUCGGGUUAGGGUUCAGGUUCUAGUCUGUAAAACCCAAAAUACCCAUACUACCCGAAUUAUUCAUACUAGUCAAAUUAUUUAUGUUAUUAUUACACUUACAUGUUACACAAACUAACUAAAACACCCACACUAUCUGAAUUAUUCAUGCCGAAACUUAAUGUGUGCUCUGAAUAUUUUGGGUUUUUUGGGUACCCGAGUUACCCAAACCAAAAUUUUGGGUAAUUUGGGUUCGGUUAUUUUUUUGACAUAAAAAAUUCCGAUUCCCAUUUUUUUAAUACCCGAAUUACACAUGAACCGAAAUAACCAAAAUACCCGAACGCUCAGGCUGACCAUAGACAGUCUUUUUAAGCCCCGGAAGGCAUGGGUGAGGAAAGAGAUGCCCUUGUCGGAGUCAACACAUAGAGAGGAGGCCCAGCUUGUCGCGUCCGAAUCUCAAAGCAAGAUCACACGGUCACAAAUUAUAUUAAAAACUGUACAAAAUGAAACAAUUCAGACCUGAAAAUGUGUAGCAACUCUGUCAAUUAAUUUAGAGAGACGGUGAGUUUUCUUUUUGUCGUACACACGUUGUGUCCACUGAAUUAAGGAUUAGGAACCACGAGUGUACGUGGAAGUGUAGGUCAUACGUACCGGAGCUCCAACGGUGGACGAGAAAGCAGAAGCCAUGGUGUUGAUCGAUCGUUCUCUUCUCGCUGCUGAUAACUUAAUUACAGUAGUUUCUAAUUAAUUUGAUGUGCGUACGUGCAGUGGUAUAUGCAAGCUAGCUCGAUCAGCUCUCAGCUGGAUUAGGCCGGCGUACUACUAGUACACCUACAGAUGCAGGUGGACUGAGAUCGAUCGUCAGUGAUGGAUGGAGCUGAUAUGGAUAAAAGAGAGGGGUGCAGUGGUUAGCAGGUACAGAUGCGAUGCCGAUCGAUGGAGCUUGGCCAUGGCGUCUUAUAUAGGUGCAUGGACAGAUGGCCAUGGAGCAAGCGUCCAACACGACUGGAGUGACCUAGAGCGUGAGAGACUAUUCUAGAGCGUCCCUGCGUAAUCACGCAGUCAAGCCACAUAAGCUGUGAUUAUCAGGCCGGCUGCGAUAAGUAGCUAGUGAGGCGAGCCAAGUGGAGUGGAUGAUGAGAUGUUAAUUGUGUGGAUAGGGUUGGGCAUCUCCCAGGAGCCACACGCUGAGGAUUGGCUCCAUCCGUCUCUACACAACGGCGUCGACGCGGCUGCUCCUCAGCCUUCCGAUCGGCGCAUCCAACGGCCCAAAUGUGAUCUAAGCUGCAUGCAUUCGGUUCCUUGUCGGAUGGGGAUCCGGAGCAUGCAUGCAUGCCUGCCGUACACCACUACGGAGUACUACAAUACUAAUAGAUGUGCAUGCAAAUUUUCUAGAAUGUAGAUGGUUAUUGAUUGGCUGUGAAAUGAGUUAAAAAAUAACAUUUACACUACACAUGCAUAUAGAAGUAGUACAACGGAGUACUAAUUAGCUGCUAGGAGUAAAUGCAACGUGCCUUAAUCUUUGUUUAUUUUGAAAACGCACGCAAGUCUAACUGUACCUUCUAAACCGUGACGGAGGAAGUAAAUUUCUUUUUUGCGGGUAUGCAUGCAUUAUUACUCUAGUUACGAGACCGAUGCCUUCACCCUUCACCAUAAAAAUCACAUCUCGUUCGUUCUAUUUUUCUUUCUUUUGCAUUUUGCAUGAAAUGUCUAGGCUGGCUUUUACACCGCCACAAAGUACUAAUCCCAUUCCCUCCAGUAGGGCCCGGGUGAAACUUCAUGAAGUAUUUUUAAAUAUUCCCUUCAUUUUUAAAAGGCUGGAAUCGGGUCUAAUGGUUAGUCUUCUGUCCCGGUUCUGGCCACCAACCGGGACCAAAGAGAUGCCUAUAUAUACCCGCACCCUGCGCACCCUGUGCUCUGGUUUUUGGCCUAGGUGUGCAUGACAUGCUCUUGUUGCCACCCUUCUAUGCAUGCACAUGAGGUGUUCGAUGAAAAGCCCGAGCCACACUUAAGCUUUCUCCUCUCCAAGCUCAACCUCCAAGCUCCAUUUUCCUUAAUAUUUGUCUAAGUUUGGCGGUACACCAACUACACAAGGGUUCUAAAAGUUUAGCUAGUUUAGCUCAUUUCAAAUGGUCUAAAAGUAGAGUGGUUUGUGGGUUUUAGUGUAGGAGUGUAUGUGGGAGUUCUUUUGAUUUAGAUGCAAAAUUUGAGCUCAGAUUAACUUCUUAUAGACUCUGUACAUGUAUAGGGUGCCGUCUCGUGCCCGUCCUCGCUGUCGUCGAUCGCCCGCGCCGAUCUCGUUGCCAGCACCACCGUGGUGAGCCUCUUUUUCUUAUCUUCUUUUUAAAAGAAUUUUUUUUCUUACUUGUAUGAUUUAGAUAGAUAUUUGUAUAAAUUACUUACUUUUAUUAUUUUUUGUUAUUAUAUAGUGCGAUGGUUUUGGUAUCCACCCACGUCGUCCCUCGUCCGGCCUAUGAUUCGGACGUGGUAUAUUUUCUUUUAUUACUAUUUGUUUCAUUUAGUGUUUAUGACGAUAAUUAUGCCGACCAAUGUGACAUGGAUGUUUUUAUCUAGGAUGUAUGUGAACCGGAAAUUCCAACCAACCCUCUUGUCGAGAGGUUAAAUUUAGUUGAAAAAGAAAACAAUUACUUGAAGAAAAAAUUGAAAAUAAUUGAGGAGAAGAAUAUGGAACUGGAGUUGCAUGUUGCCGAUGUCGUCGAUGAUCACAAGAUCAACAUGGAUGCAAUGCGGUUGAAGAUGGAUGCAAUGCGCUUGAAGAUGAAUGCAAUGCGCUUGAAGAUUAGGAAUAUUAGAAAAUACGCCACUGAUGAAGAGGCUUGGUAUCAUUAUGUUCUUGGGUCAUUGUUACCUUACUUGUGAUUUUGAUCGCAUUUGUUGUGGCAUUUAAAUGUUUUACAUAGUUGUAUGUUGUUUUAUGAGAGUACUUUAUGUAUUUAUUUUUGCAAUAAUAAUAUUUGAUCACUACAGUACUUUGAUUUUAAUGUGAUGCUGAACUUGUAUUAAUUUGGUCAUUUCUCUAUUCAUGAUGUUCUGCAAUGGUUUUUUGAUAUACUUAAUUUCAUAAUACAAAUGAACCGCCAAUGGAUGUAUGGCGACCGACACACUCCGGAGUACAUUAUGAACCGGGACUAGUGCCCCUCCCCUGCCUACCAAUUAACCCUCCCCACCCACUUAUUUUUUUCUGAUUGGAUGUGUGGGAGGUGGGUGCUAGAAUUUUUUCCUUUGCUACGCACAAGAUGUGUUUGAUGAAAUGCCCGAGCCACACUUAAGUUCACACAAAAUGGUAUCCUCGACAGAGGUUAGCAACCUUAUCAUUUUCAUCUGUAAUUGAUACAAAAAUAUUGCAUGUGUCCAUGUACGGUGGCCAUUUCACUAUUCAUGUAUGAUGCAGAUCGAUGCACGAAAGCGAUGGAUGUAUGACGAACGACGUAGUUUUGGAUUUAUUGCAGGCCUACAUAAAUUUAUCGAUGUGGCUGAGGCAAACAAAGUGGAUAAUUUUAUGCCUUGUCCAUGUGUUGACUGUCGAAACGUCAGGGAGUACUCUAGCUCGAAAACUAUUCAAGGCCACGUGCUUCGGAGAGGUUUCAUGCCCAGAUAUUAUUGUUGGACCAUGCACGGAGAAAGAGGGGUUAGGAUGGAAGACAAUGAAGAAGAAGAAGAUGAUGACAACUAUCCUAUGUUCACUGAAGAAUACGGUGAUACUGCAAUGGAAGACAAUGAAGAAGAAGGAGGUGAAGACCAACCGGCAUGAGAUGAGACCGUUGAUGGUCUUGGUCGGGUCAUUUCUCAUGCAAAGCGAGAAUGCAUACACACAAGGAGAGGUUGAAGUUGGAGGCCAUGCUAUAGGAUCAUAAAAAGUUGAUGUACCCAAAUUGCGAAGAUGGCAGCACAAAGCUCGGUACCACACUUGAACUGUUGAAAUGGAAGGCAGAAACUGGUUUAUCUGACAAGGGAUUUGAGAAGUUACUGAAAAUAUCAAAGUCGAAGCUUCCAAAGGAUAACGAAUUGCCUGAGGCUACGUACGAAGCAAAGAAGGCUAUCUGCCCUCUUGGAUUAGAUAUGCAGAAGAUACAUGCAUGCAUUAAUGACUGCAUCCUGUAGCACGGUGAGAAGUACGAGAAUAUGGAUAAAUUCCCGGUAUGCAAUGCAUGUCGGUACAAGAUCAGACAAGAUGACCCUGGUGAUGUUGAGGGCGAUGACGAGCCCCUGAGGAAGAAGGUUCCUACUAAGGUUAUGUGGUAUGCUCCUAUAAUACCAUGGUUGAAACGUCUGUUCAGAAACAAUGAGCAUGCCAGGUUGUUGCGAUGGAACAAAGAAGAGUGUAAGAAAGACGGGAAGUUGAGACACCUCGUUGAUGGGUCGCAGUGGAGAAAAAUCGAGAGUAAGUACCCGGACUUUGCAGGUGACGCGAGGAACUUAUGGUUUGGUCUAAGUACAGACCGCAUGAAUCCUUUUGGGGAGCAGAGCUGCAGUCACAACACCUGGCCCGUGACUCUAUGUAUCUACAACCUUCCUCCUUGGUUGUGCAUGAAGCGGAAGUUCAUUAUGAUGCCAGUGCUGAUCCAAGGACCGAGGCAACCCGACAACGACAUUGAUGUGUACCUAAGGCCAUUAGUUGAUGAACUUUUGCAGCUGUGGGCCAACCAGGUGUACAUGUGUGGGAUGAUCACAAACAGCGGGAAUUUGACCUACGAGCAUUGUUGUUCGUAACCAUCAAUGAUUGACCUGCUCUUAGUAACAUUUCAGGACAGUCAAACAAGGGAUACAAUGCAUGCACGCACUGUUUAGAUAAGGCUAAAGGUACAUAUUUGGAAAAAUAUAAGAAGGUUGUCUAUGUGGGGUCUCGUCAAUUUCUUCCGACCAAUCAUCCCAUAAGAAAGAAAGGCAAGCAUUUCAACGAUGAGGCAGAUCACCGAAAGAAGCCUAACCUCCCUACUGGUGAUGAGGUAUUGGCUGUGGUCAAGGAUUUGAAUCAAAUAGUAAUCUUUGUAAAGGGUUUUGGCAGUCAAUCUGUUUCGAAAGACGUGGUUACCAGUCACGUGCCCAUGUGGAAAAAGAAAUCUUUAUUUUGGGAGCUACCCUAUUGGGAAUACCUAGAGGUCCGCUAUUCAAUCCACGUGAUGCACUUGACGAAGAAUCUUUGCGUGAAACUGCUAGGCUUCCUGGGCGUGUAUGGGAAGACAAAAGAUACACGAGAAGCACGGGAGGAGCAACAACGUAUGAAAGACCCAUACGACAAGAAGUGUCAAUACUUAAGCAGCUACGCUCUUACCAAAGCAGAGAAGGAAAUCGUUUUUGAAUUCCUGAGUAGUAACAAGGCCCCCGCUGGCUUCUCUUCUAAUAUAAAGGUAAUAAUAAAUAUGGCAGAGAAAAAAAUUCCAUAACCUGAAGUCUCAUGAUUGGCACAUGAUUAUGACGUAGUUGCUUCGAGUUGCAUUGAGGGGGCUUCUACCGGAAAAUGUUCGAUUACCCAUUGUGAAGCUAUGUGCAUUCCCCAAUGCAAUAUAUCAGAAGGUAAUCGAUUAAGAAUGUCUGGAAAGGAUACAGAGGGAUGUGGUCCAAUGUCUUGUCAGUUUUGAUUUGGUGUUCCCCCCGUCCUUCUUCAAUAUUAUGACACAUCUCCUAGUUCACCUAGUCGACGAGAUUUCCAUUCUCGGUCCUAUAUUUCUACACAAUAUGUUCCCCUUUGAGAGGUUCAUGGGAGUCUUAAAAAAUAUGUUCAUAACCGUGCUAGUCUAGAAGGAAGCAUCUCCAAGGGCUAUGGAACAGAGGAGGUCAUUGGGUUUUGUGUAUACUUUCUUCCUGGUCUUAAGCCGAUUGGUGUUCCUGAAUCGCGGCAUGAGGGGAAACUGAGUGGAAAAGGCACGCUAGGAAAGAAAGCAGUGAUAUGUAGGCACGGGCAUUCUUUCACUCAAGCACACUACACAGUUCUACGAAGUUCCACCUUCGUGGCUUCGUAUAUCGAGGAACACAAGAAUUUUGUACGCUCCGAGUUCCCGGGGAAGGCUGACUCCUGGAUUGAAGAAAAACACAUGUAUACUUUCGGCAGUUGGUUGUGAGCACGUCUCAUGAAUGACAACACUGUUGUAGAUCAACUCUACUUGUUGGCCGUGUCACCUUCUUGGAUUGUAUUACAUUUCCAAGGGUACGAGAUAAAUGGGAAUACAUUUUACACGACCGCCCAAGAUAAAAAGAGCACCAACCAAAACAAUGGUGUCCGCUAUGAUGCAACAUAGGAGAAUGGGGAAAAGGACACAUACUAUGGUUACAUAGACGAGAUAUGGGAACUUGACUAUGGACCUACUUUUAAGGUCCCAUUGUUUCGGUGUAGUUGGGUGAAUAUGAAUGGAGAAGGGGUAAAGGUAGACCAGUUGUACGGAAUGACAAUAGUUGAUCUCAAGAAUCUUGGUUACAGAGACAAGCCAUUCGUUCUAGCCAAUGAUGUGGCUCAGGUUUUCUACGUGAAAGAAAUGUCGUCCAGAUCGAAAAACAGAAGAAAAAAAUGAAUACAUCGGACGGUGAGGCAAAGUUUCACAUAGUUCUUUUAGGGAAAAGAAACAUCACGGGAAUCGAGGACAAGACACACAUGUCAGCAGAUUAUAAUAAGUUUGACGAAAUUCCGCCCUUCACACUGAGAAUUAACCCAAGCAUCCCGUUAAAUAAUGAAGAUGCUCCAUGGUUACGGCCAAAGUGAUCAUAGGCAAGGGAUCGAAAUGUAAAUCUAUGUAAUGUAUUAAACUUUAUGUGAUAUGUACUAAUGUAUCAAACUUUAUGUUAUGUGUACUAAUGUAUUAAACUUGGUACCACUUGGUUCUAAAGAAAAUGCACUUUUCCUUUUAUUAGUGGGAAAACGACGUUUUUUGUGAAAGAGGUACCAACUACGAGAACUAAAACAACUACGAGUACGAGAGCUAAAACAACUACGAGAAGUAAAACAACUAUGAGAACUAAACCCUAAACAGCUACGCCAACUUUCAACCUUUUCAGAGCCCAUUUGUAGGGAUUUUAAAUUUCAGGGUCAAUUAGCUCAAAGAACAAACUAAUAGCAAAAAGAAUGAAGUAAAAAGAAUCAACUAAAAAGAAUCAACUCAAAAGAAUCAACAAAAAGAUUAACUAAAAAGAAUGAACUAAAAAGAAUCAACGAAAAUUAUCAAAGUGUUUAUUUGUUAAAAAGAAUCAAGUAAAACAUUAACUAAAAACAAUCAAAAAAAUAUCAACUCAAAAGAAUUUUCAUAAAGUUUUCAGAGCCCAUUUGUAGUGCUUUUCAAAUUCAGGGUCAAUUAGCUCAAAGAAUAAACUAAUAGCAAAAAUAAUGAAGAAAAAGAAUCAACUAAAAAGAAUGAACUAAAAAGAGUCAACCAAAACAUCAACUAAAGAGAAUGAACUAAAAAUAAUCAACUAAAAUUAUCAAAGUGUUUAUUUGUUAAAAAGAAUCAAGUAAAAAAUUGACUAAAAAGAAUCAAAAAAAUAUCAACUCAAAAGAAUUUUCAUAAUUUUUUUUAAAAUAUAUAAUAGAAAACUAAAAUAAAAGAGAAAAAAUAUAUUUAAUAGCAAAGAAUUAAAAUAUAAACUGGGACUAAAAAUUAUUAAAGUAAAAAAAUGCCACCUACUAGGCCAUGAGGACGUGCAUACGACUAGAAACCCUAGAAGCUAGAUGGGCCAGGAUGCAGGCCUGUAGAAGGCCUAGUAGGACCACAGGGUAGUGAGAGUGUGGUUAGGCCCGUAGGCCUGCGUUUGAUAGGAUCUCGAGAGGGUUGGCACAACGGGGCUUAUAAACCACUCUCAACUCCUCUCAACUAGCUAGGUGGGNCGGCCUCCACAGCUAGCUCCAUCUCCGGGCCCCCAGUGAGCUCCUCCUGUCACCACCAUCGCACCCACACCAUCGUUGACCUCGUGUCCCCGCCGUCGUUGCGGGACCCCUCGUAGUGGCAUCAUUUUCGUGCCGUCCCUCGAGCCUCCUCAUCGUUGCCGCGCCCUUCCCCUCCGGUGAGAAGUAUGGCAUCCGUUGUUUCUGUUGACAGAUUCAGGUUUAGGGUUGUACUGAGAUUGUUACAAUCUAAAAAAUGGUUUAAUGAAAAUGCAAUUUGUGUUCUAUCUCAGCAUGUUCUAAUUAGUGUUCAAGUGAAGAAAAGUGAAGACAUUGUUGACUUUUGACUAAAUGUGCUCUGGUUUUUUAGAUGUGCUCUAGUUUUUUAGAUGAGAUGUUUUGUGAAGAUGAGAUGAGAUGUUUUCUGGAAAUGUGAGAGAGAUGAGAUGAGAGAAUUUAUUUUAGGCUUUUUUAGAUAUAGAAACAAAUGUUAAAAUUUGCAUGUGCUCUGGCUUUCUUGUUGCAUAAUGAGAUUAGAUGAGAUGAGUCACCGGCGAUCGUCGGAGGAGUCCUCGACGAUCGCCGGUGAGGAGUCCCCGACGAUCGUCGAAGGAGUCCCCGACGAUCGCCGGUGAGGAGUCCCUCACGAUCGUUGAAGGAGUUCCCGACGGUCGUUAGAGGAGUCUCGGACGAUCACUGGUGAAGAUUCCAGGGCGAUCGCCGGUGAAGAUUCCCCGACGAUCAUCGGUGCGGAAUCCCCGACGGUCGUCAGAGGAGCCCCCGCGGUUGUCAGAGGAGUCCCCGACGAUCGCCGGUGAAGAGUUCCUGACAAUCGCCGGUGAGGAGUCCCUGAUGAUCGCCGGUGAGGAGUCCCCAACGAUCACUGGAGGAGACCCCGACGGUCGUCCAAGGAGUUCCCGACGAUCGUCAGAGGAGUCCCAGACGAUCGCCGGUGAAGAGUUCCUGACGAUCGCCGAUGAGGAGUCCCCUAUGCUCAUCGGAGGAGUCCCCGAUGGUCGUCGGAGGAGUGUACUCUCUUGAAAGUAUAACCCCAAUAACUUCGACAUUAGGGGGCGUCAUGAGCCCCCCCGUUAAAUGACAAUACAUAAAUGUUUCCCUCUCCCCAAGUUAAUUAAAAUGUUUACCUUUUCUUAUUAUUCUUUAUUUUUUGCAUUGUUCUUAAUUUGCAGAUACUAUGGAUCCAAUACACGGCAGAGACGAAUAUCAGGAUGACAUGAUGCAUGGUGUCAUCCGUGAGGAUGAUUUUAUUGUUGGCAGUGUCACCAAUCAGUUUCUGAACGAGUCCGGCGAGGGAGAUGAGUCUGUCAACACAGGAGGUAGAAGCUCCGGUGUGAUAGACGCCCACGCCUCGGGCGAGCGAGGAUUCAGCGGCUCCGAUGAGGGAGAAGCCGACAAGGGAGAAGCCGAUGGCUCCGGCGUGGUGCAUAUAUAUAUUAAUAAAUUAAUCCUGUGCUGUCUAUAUACAUAUAUUAACGCUCUUUCUUCUUUUAGCCCUCCGGAGUGAGCAAAACUUAAGUACGGAUGAAACGAGGCCCAACCAAGAAGAUGGAUGACGGUGAGAGGUACAUGAUCGAAAGAGUCUCAAAAGGCGGGCAAUCGAUUGUUCCCACAGAUGUAAAGAAGAAAUUUGUGAAGGCAUGCAGAGUUAUUGUUAAGGACCACAUCCCUAUCACCACUCGAGAAUGUCUUAAGCCAAGGGUGGAAGGAGUCUCAUAUGUCGGCACAGUAGCCAAAGAAAACCUUUGGAGAAAGCUCAUGCUUCAUUUCACCCUGCCGGCGCCAGAGGUGGAUCCAGAUGAGGAGGAAAUGAAGAGGCGAAACGAGGCCCUAGAGAAAAAAUUCAAGGAGUGGGCUCUUAAGAAAAUGACCGAUCUAUUCAGGGGCUGGAAGAAAAGAUUGCACCAGGAUUUUAUCUUGCAAGAUAAGACUCCAGAUUUCGAUAACGGCUAUGAGAAGAUAAAAGACUAUUUGACCGAAUUUGUGGCGUACAAGAAAUCGGAGGACGCCUUGAAAAAGUCUGCAACAAAUAAGAGGAAUGCACGUAUGAAGAAGUACCACCAUAUUAUGGGGUCUGCUAGCUACGCCAGUAACAUGGCUAAGUGGGACGCACUUGAGGCACCAUUUCUGGCUAACAAUAUCACUCCAGAGCCCUUAACAUGGAUCGAACGGUUAAGAAACUGGUUUUACGGGCAUGGGGCAUGUUGGACGCCAAAGGGAAGGAAAUAUAUAACCAAACACACAAAGAUAAUCCCCUACUACCCAUCGAGAACAUUAGAAGUGUAGUAAAGGAUGUUGAAGAGGAACGGUUCGUUCUCGAUAGAGAGAACGAUGAGCUCUCACGCGCCCUUGGGAAUGAUGAACACAAAGGACGAGCACGAGGCUUACCAGGCUCCCCGCCAUGGAUGCUUGCGUUUUCUGAGGAAAUGAAGAAAUUUCCCAAUAGAAGCCAUCAGAGGAGAAUGGAAAAGGAGGCAGCUGAGAAAGCGGCUACUGCAGACCGGCCGCAUAAUGUAGAAGAAGGAGUAAAGCGGCUGCAACAGGAUCAAAUCAAUAGACUUAGCCAACAAGGUAGCGGCCUAUCUCAGCAUCUCAUGAUAGAAGCUGCAUCGAAUCGGAAAAGCAAUGUCGAUUCCACGCAGCUCCAGGAUGAUGGUGACGAUGAUGCACUGACGACGGCUCCUCCUCGUCGCUACCCAGUGGAUGAUAUCACAGAGAGCACACCUUGUGAGCUAAAGGUGAAAGUUGCUAACUUAAGGUUGACGGUAGCGGUCGGCAUGGUCGUACUAAUUGGACAUAAUCCAACUUGGCAUUGCUCUCCGGUUACAAAAGGGUACGUUGUCAUCACAGUGGAUGAAGUGAUGAAAGAUUAUGAGGAGCUAAAGCUGGACUACCGUGCAGGUGAAUAUAGGGAUUUGACUGAACUUGGAGAAGUCAAGAAACAGACCAUUGUAUGGCCAAAGGAGCACAUCUUGCUUCCAAAUUGGUCGCCAAGGCCACCGACCCCUCAGAGCAGCAAUCCUUCUUCGCCUCCACCUCACCAGUCUCUAGCACAACCGUCGUCUUGACCGCCUCACCAGUCUCGAGCGCAACCGUCGUCUUCGCCACCUCACCAGUCUCCAGUGCAGCCGUAUCCACCACUGCAUCAGCCGUCUUCACUGACCCGUCAGUCGUCUCCGUCCACUGAGGAUCAGAGCCAAAAGCGAAAACGUACCACCACUAAUAGUGGCGGUAGAAAGGGGUUCCGAUCACCGAAAUGUAAGUCGUCGCCCCUCCCAAAAGUACCUCAUAAGAAUAUGGAGAUGAGACCUUGGGACUAUAGUGAAGAGAAAAAUAAGAAGAGGGCAGACGCCCAGUAUCAAAAGUGGAAGGCUGACAUGGCUAACAAGAAGAAGUAGAAAGAGCCAGAGUUCCCGGUCACCCUAGAAGAUCACGCCGCAUGCGUGAAAAUGUUGAAUACUCUUGGACAACCCCCGCCAACAUUGCGAGAAGACCAUGAACGCGCUAUUCUCAAGUCGGCUGAGGUAAAAAAGCAGUGGUUGAACAGUAGUAGGUACAACGCGAAAUCAGUUGCCCAGCUCGGAUAACAGAAAAACCAAUCGUGCCCCCGCUCAAAGUGUAUUCGGAUACAGAGGUGUGCUCGAGUGGAGCUGCGGCCGAGCAGAGGUAUGAUGAAACAACUGAUAUCAAUCCGGAGUUUGUUGCACUGUACAGAGAAGCGGCCAAGGCUCAUGGCAUGACUAUUGUUCGGUACUUAAACAAUAUACAUGAUUUCACUGACGUAGCAUACCAGUACCGGCACGGGUCUCCUCUCGUCAAACCCGAGUUAGUCAAUGAGCUAUCAACAAAAAUGCAAAUAUUGCAUAACUGGUACAUGCGAGCAUCUGCUGAAUAGCAAAACUGGAUCUAUUGUGCAUAUAAAAACGAGCAUUACAGGCAUGGAGAAGGAGUGCUAAUGAUUGAAUUCAAUGAAUUAUUUCAGUUAUACCAACAAGAUGCCCUCGACAAAUCUAUCAUCAGUGCCUAUUGUUUGUAAGUAUUAUUAGUUUAUGUCAUUAAGUCUUACUCAGCUCGUUCAUUGCAUGUAUAAUCUUACUCAUCACUACAUUAAUUUUGCAGAAUGAAGAUUCUCGAAUGCAAAUGAGGACGAAUCUAUGACAUUGGGUUCAUUGACCCAUAUUUCAUUCAAGAAAAAAUUUCUCGAACUGAAUACCAACGAGAUAGAGAAUAAGUUGUUACAAGGGUUAAGGUUGUCCGCUACCAAAAGGGAAAUACUAUUUCCUUACAACUUCAAGUGAGUGUUACUGUCUUGUACACACAUUCUAUUUUCGCUUACUCGAUGUUAAUUGUAUAAUUGACUCGUUAUGUGUGCGUAGCUUCCACUUUAUUCUGUUAAUCAUUGAACCUCACAAUGGACUAGUAAAAGUCAUGGACCCAAAACGCAAACCCCUCGCUGAUUGGGCCAACAUGAAGGAAUGCCUCCAGAGGUAAUCUCAAUCAUUAUGGCACUAUAUCGGCAACUUUUCAUUCAUUUCCUGAUAGCAAGUAAUUAAUAUAGAACUCCUUUAUUUAUUUCCUUUUCUUGGUAGGGCUUGGAAACGGUUCACCGCCAAGUGUUGGGGUGUUUGGUAGCCAGAGCUUACAUUUAGACAAAUGGAUGUAAGUACUACUAGCUAGAUCUGCCAUCUCUUUAUUCUAGUUUCAAUACCAUUAUCAUGCUUGAUUAUGUUCUGAUUGAACUCUGUUCUCGUAAAGUGCUUGAGGCAGGAACAUGGGAACAAUUUAUGUGGAUACUAUGUUUGCGAGUUCAUUCGCCAGACGACCCAUGAGACGGGCAAAAACCGGGACUUCAGAAAAAUUGAAGUACGAUAAACAAUACUCACAACUUUAUUUUAUUACCAUCAAUUGUGUUCGGUUUCAUUGAUAUAUAUAUAUAUAUUGACCCCUUCUUUAAAUUAGAUCAAAUGGUUGCGGGACGGUCUUCUACCAGAGGAACGCAUACGAGCAAUUCAAGAGGAAAUUGUCGGAUUCUUUGAUGCAGAGGUCCUAGAUCUGAAGGAAGAAAACUAUUGCCCGCCGGUUGAAGUGAAAUGUUAAAGUGUAAAAGAGAUGCAUAUGUGCAGGUAACUCGUGUCUACAUUUUGUAAUAUGUUCGACAAAGCACGACAGAUGAGAUGGAGUAAUAUAUUCAUGACGAUGAUGUGCAAUAUAGUUGUUCCUUAAUUGCUGUGUAUGUACCAUCCAAUUUAGUGCAAAACACAAAUUAAAAACGUGCCCAAGACAAAUAAAUGGGAAAAUAGAAAAAAAAUAAGGGGCAGCAAAAUAGCCCCCAUCCAAUUUAGUGCAAAACCCUAAACCCUAAAAAGUGCUAAAAAAGGCAGCGAAGCAAUAGCCCCGAUUCGUAAUAAGAACCCAGACUAAUACUCCUCCCCCCUCGCUCCCAGCCCCGCCACGUGGAGGACCAUUAGCCCCGGUUCGGGGGCGAACCGGGGCUAGAAUUAGUCCCGCUUUUGUGGUACCGAUUCCUGAACCGGGGCUGAUGGCCCAAACGAACCGGGUCUCAAGCCUAUAUUUCUGCUAGUGUUUUAAGCGCAAGUAUAUUAUUGUUCAUACAAAAGUCGGGCAAGUAAAAUAUAACACCUUUAGUUCAUAAGGAUGGAAUGCGGGUGCGUGCGUUUACAUAGGUGAGUAUAUGUGCAUAAGUAUGUGNNNNNNGUGUGUCCAUCUUUACUGUAUUAAAAAAAGCGUUCAUUUUAUACCGAAAAGAAGCAACAUGAAUUUUUAUAGAGAAAAACACCCAAAAGGUAUCUUAUGUCUAAUUACUCCUAUAAAUGAUGAUGGAGUGCCCCGGAAUUGGCGCCCUCGCGCGCGCUCCACAUCGUCUUAUCCACUAGCGCCUCACGUCGGUGCCUGUCUCACGCCCUCCCUACCUUCCAAUCGGACCAUGUCACUCCUUAUAGAGCCGGCAUCCUCGGGGUCCAUGAAUCAUGAGUCACGACCGUGUCCAUGGCCUCCUUUCUGUAGUGUUUUUGUUGCCCCUGCGUGCGCAUUUCCCGCGGUUGGUCGUUGUGGGUGUAGCCAUGCCUUGCCCGAUGGUGUGGAGGUUGCUUCUCGGCUUGUGUGAGCCACUUUCAUGGUAUUCGGUUUUUCCGGGAGUGAUAUAUAGGUUUUACCCCUAAGUUUGACAUAUUUGAGACUAAUUACCCCGUUUAAAAUAAUUUCAUCCAUUGUACCCCAUUUAACAAAAAAUUUGCCACAAUUUACCCCUUUUGAAACUUAAAGCGUUCUGAGUGGUGUGUCAUAAUUAUUAGAUCCAACUCGAGUGCCACGUAUAGAGGUUUUUUAAGGUAUUUUUUCUGCAUACUAAACGGCUUCGCACGGUUUCUAUCUACCGACCAGACUAUACCGAUGGGAAGCAGACGCAUGUCCUCGAACAAUUUAUAAAGUUACACGUCGCUUGAGUCCAGUGCACCAUGAUCAUUCAAUCCCGCUGCAUAUUUCAUUGAGUCUGUUGCGCCAGAGUGGCCUCCAAUCAUGGUACACAUCGCUCGCCUCUAGUCACAUAGAGGAUCGUGCCCAAGUCUGGCCGAGUCCACUUCGCUCCUUCCUUCUGAGAGGGGAGGACGAACGUAUGCGAUGAGCGGUAGGCGACAUGUCAAGUUUUCACUGGGAUUGUUCGAGCUGCAAGCAGCAACCGAUAUGUCAAUCUCCUUCUCUCUUACGCUUGCUUGAAUUCUCUGUUUUUCACUUCAGUGGUUAGGCUUUCAGUUUUGCUCUUAGUCCAGGAUGCAUAUCACAUGGGUUCCGGACAAUUGUUUCUGGUUUGAAGAUCUCCGAUGAGAUGAAUAUUAUUAGUGGAAACAUUAUUGGAUUUUUUUAUUGAUAUAAUCCCGAAUCAGUUUCUGUUUUCUAUAUGUAAAAGGAACUUAAGUUUUCUAUACGUAAGAUGAGAGCAUUUGGAUAACCAUAUAUUCCAUGCUAAUAGCAUGCUGAAAGACACUAGUAAUAGGGAAAUCUGCGAACUUUGUGUCUGAGCGUCUUCUUGUUGUAUGGAUUUUAUCCGCUAAUUAGUGAUUUUGGUUUUCUUGCACAAAUCAUAUGGCAACCGAGAUGUGGAGCGUUAGGUCCACUUUUCAUGUCCGUGGAUACAAUAAUCCAGAGCCAGAGUUGAUUGAGACGGAUUUCAUUAGUUAUUUUGAUAUAAAGGAGAGGACAAAAGAGUUGGGUUUCAACCAUUGUGACAUCGUUUAUUAUGAGAAGAAAGGGGACAAUGGGAACUCCAUGGUUGAGUUAAUAAAUGACACUAGUGUUAUGAAGAUGCUUGAGGAGUUUGAUGCUUAUAAGGAGAUCGAUUUGCAUGUUUUCAGAACCUUGGAUCCAAAUACAUUUCCAUUUUCCAGGAAUGGUGUUGAUUCUUACAAGCCAAUAGUUGUGGUCUUGUUGAAGAGAAUAAUGAAGAGGACAAUAAAAAUGUGGAGAUGCUUUCAGAUGUAUAGUACAAUGAUCAAGUGGAAUACUAGAGGUAUUUGAAUGGGCAAGAUUAUGGAACUUAUUCAAGUGAUGAAGAUUUUGAUGUUGUUGCUGAAACAGAGAAGUUGAGAGCCAUGUAUGCUAAAAUGAAGGAGAAAGAAUUGCCAGAAAAGGGUGUGUAUUUAGAGGAUGAAUUUGAAGAUUUAUUUGAUGUCACAGAAGGCUUAGAUGGCAUUGAUCUUGAUGACAUUGCUCUUCCACAAACACAAAUGGAGAAAGACAUGAAUUUUGCAAAGAAAGAGGAAGCAAGACAUAAAAAAGGAGAAGACAACUAAGAAGAUGGCAUUGGCAAGGAGAAGGGACCAUAAGAAGAAAUUAGUUGACGGUGACUUUGAGCUUUUAGAUUCUCCAAACUCAGAUGGUGAAAAUGAUCCUUUAGGACAAGGUAUCGAUGAAAAUGAAGAUUCACGUUUGAUAGUUUUAUUACAAGGGAGAAAAAGAAGAAGGCCCAAGAUGUUGUUAGACCCAAGAAUGCAAUUUGAUGAUACUUACCUUAAUGAUGCUGAUAGUAUGCUAGAACAACUUGUCAAAGGGAUGUGUUUCAAAUCUUACAUUCUUAAGAAGUUGAUACUACUAGCAUUCUCUCAACAUGCAUAUCAUCCACGUGAGCGUUUUGCCGCAUAGGCUUUCACACACAGCUAUUUACACGAGCAAGUGUAAUCUUUGGCACCCUUCCACAUCCAUCAGAUAAAAAUGUUUAUUGCUAUACUCUUCAUGCAAGAGUUAAUCUCGCUGGCAUGCCUAAUAAACCACAUUCAAUACGUGCAUGCAAUGGAGCAUCAAAAUACCCGCGACCUUGAUCAUGAUAAAAUUACUCGCAAGUCAUGUGUCUCAUUAAUUAGCAUUUGGCAUUUGGAUGAGGUAAUCCUUUCUCGACUCCAUCCUUUUUGGCCAAUGUGGGGACAUGGGAGAUUGAUCCAUUUAAUGGCAAUGCUGAUUCCGGAGGUGUUAUCAUUACCCUUCGUCUUAGCAGCUUAGCUUAUUAAUCUGAACGAAUACAUCUCCAUCGAUCCUCAAAAAAUAUCCACCAAUUCUUCUCAUCUUCCGCAUCUCCACCUCUCUCUCCAAAAUAGGUUUCCACCGGCCAAGCCUUAUGGGUUAUCUCCAUCGAAGGUGGUCCGCUCACUACGCCAAAGUCUUAUGAUCAUUCUUUCUAACUCUACCUUUCUCGUGGCCCCGCGAUCCUUGUCAUCGAUGGUUAUGAUGGCCCAAGACGUUCUCCGAGACAUCGAUAAGAUGAGUUGUACGUGUACAUGCCACCGCCGAUGUCCUCCUCCAACAUCACUAGAGGUGGGUGCUUUCUUUCCUCUCAAUGUUCUCAGAUAUUAACAUAAUUUUUGAGUUGGUUCGAAGGUCUGAUUUUUGUGUGCUCGGAAAUUUAAUUGUAGGAACCUCUGUUCCAUCUCGAGUGAUCUCCUCCGUGGUAAUAAUCUAGUCAGUCUCUCUCCACCAAACUCCUUUCUAACUCAGUUAUUGCAUACACACAUAUGUCGGGAUAAGAUGAAUCAUUGAUGUUUCUCCAAUCCGAUUGUUUUUUAUUGGGGCGCUAGAUGGUGAAAUUUUCUUAUUCCUUUUGUGUUCUUUAGGGUUCUCGAGAGAACAAGUACAUGAAGUUAGAAUGUAUUGUUCUAAACUACAACUACAUCUCGCUAUCUUCCUCCCUUCACACAUAAUAAUUCAGUACAAAUUGUGUAAUUUUAUUCCUCUUCUUUGGUUGUUUUGUAGAAUCAUAACAUAUGGCAUAUUGGCAUAUCGGGGUUCAUUUUCAGGUUAUUUGUUCUCUAUGAGUAGUAUUUAAUUGUGAAUUUCAUGGGAUCUUUCUAUUACAUGAGUUAUAUAAUUGUGUGUUUAACAAUUUUGUUCUUCCCGUACUGCACGACUCUACCAUUGUCACAACAAUCAUCUACCUAUGUAAAUGAAUGAAAUAUAUGUGAACACACUUGCAUUCUCUCUCAAAUUUAAGGUAACUAUAUGUGGUGCCUAUAGACUUAAUAUACAUUUUUUUGUAGUAAUAAUAUCAGUAUGUGAUUAUUAUGGUACUAAUAACAAUCCUAACCUCAGAGGUUUCUUUCGAAUGAUUACUAAGUGGAUAAGGUAUAGGAUUAUGUAGUAAAAUGGAGUGCACAUGUGUCUACUCAGCAGCCAUGACAUUUUGUAUAGCUGGUUAUGUUUCGCUCAAUAACUGGAUCAAGGUGAAGAAUGAUUACUAUUCAGAUGCAUUAACACCGCAAGGCUCACAAAUUAGUAUGAAAUAUAUUCGUUUCUUGCUCUGAUGCACUUCUAAUAGACAAUCGAAUGAUAUGUUAAAAUAUUAUGAGAAAAAACUCAUUACAAUAUAUGUUACUUCUCUUUAUGUUGGUGAUGCAUUCUUCUAAUUAUGCAAAUAUGGAGAUAACUGACCAUAUAUUAAUAGGUCCAACUUUUUAUACCAUUCAAAGAUUCAAAUAGACGUAUAUUUAUAUUAUUGUUUCCAUCAAUUCCAUAAUUUCUCACUCUAUAUAACCUCCUAUAUACUACUACACAUUCCCGGAGCAACGCACGUGGUGUCAUCUAGUAUGUCAAAGAUUGUAGAGUAGCACUUAAGUCAUUCAUAUAUUGCAAGGACGAAGCUUUGGUUUUGUGAAGAAUAAGAUGGAAAAGGUGAAGGUGCAUUGCACACAGCCAAAUUGCGCCUUCUAUCUUUUUGCAUCAAAGAUAGCUAGUGAGUCCACUUCUAUGGUCAGAGAGGAUGUAGAGCCACACUCGUGUGGAUUAAUAGAGUGGACACUAGGCUGAAUUCCACAUGGAUAGCUUCUCAUUAUGAGGCUCAGUUCAGAGUUGAUCCCAAUUGGAGGCUUGAUGCUUUCAUGGAGGCUGUUAAGGGAGAUUUUAAUUUUGAAAUAAGAAAGAGGAUAGCAUAUAGGGCUAUAUCUUAUGCCCAAAAGAAGGUUCUUGGGGAUGAAUACAAGCAAUAUCUUAGAAUUAGAGACUACUUGCAUACAUUAUUGAACAAAAAUCAUGGAAGCAUCGCUAUAGGUACCACUCAGCCAAAUCUCAAGCCACAUGCCAAUGCUAAUCCUCUAUUCACCGGGCUGUUUGUGAGUUUUCAUUCACAAGACCCAGGAUUCUUAUUCGGCUAUAGGCCAUUCAUUGGAUUAGAUGGUUGUUUUGUCAAGCUAGCUAAUGGUGCACAAGUUUUAGCUGCCUCCACAAGAGAUGGCAACAACAACAUGUUUCCUUUAGUGUUUGGAGUGGUUAACAUAAAGGACAUUAACAAUUGGACAUGAUUUCUGCAAACACCAGAGUCAGCAAUUGGAUAGGGAGAGCAACAUGGUGGAUGGACAAUCAUGUGAGAUAGGGAGAAGGUAAUAACAUAUUUCUUAUCUUUUUCAUUUAUAUGUUACAUUUGAUUUGCAUGUUGUAACUGACAACUCUUCCAUUUAUUUGUGAGAGGGAUUACUUUCAGCAGUCACAAAGAUUUUUCCAUGUUGUGAACAUAGAUUUUGCAAAAGGCACGUUCUCACAAACUUCUCUAGAGCUAGAUUCAGAGGUGAAAUCUACAAGAAAUACUUUGAUAAGGUUGUUUAUGUAUUCACUUUGAAUGAGUACAAUAUUGACAUGGAGAACUUGAAAUCUUAUGACUUAGAAGCAUGGACGUGGGUUAGAGAAAUACCCAAGGAGCACAUUAGUAGGCAUGCUUUCAACACAAGAUCCAAGACUGAUCUUGUUGUGAACAACCUCAGUGAGGUGUUCAACAAAUACAUCCUUGACUAUAGAUAAAAGCCAAUUCGUACCAUGACGGGGCUCAUCAGAACUAGAGUUAUGAAAAUAUUUUGUUUGAAAAGAAAGGGAUGUGAGUCGGUGGCUAAGAGCAAAGCAAGGUAUUGCACAACUCAUCAAUUUAGUGUUGGGCUUUCGCAAGUAAACAACACUGAUAAGACCAAUGAAGUAAACAUGCUUAAUAAGACUUGUGGUUGUUUCAGAUUUCAAUUAUGUGGUUUUCCUUGUGAACAUGCGUGUGCAACUAUAUUUAAGGCUAAGGAAAGGCGUGAGAAUUAUGUUGAUGAUUUCUUCAAGUUGAAAAAUUACAAGAAAUCAUAUGGACACAUGAUAUACCCUGUUCCACAUGAAUCUGAGUGGAUUAAGACAUCAAGUCCAGACAUCGAGCCACUAGGUUACACUAUUCAACCAGGAAGGCCAAAGAAAAAUAGAAUAAAAGGGCAUGAGGAGAGUGGUUAUGCUUAUGCAAGAGAAAAAGAAGGAACAAUACAUUGUGGAAAUUGCAAGGAACUUGGCCACAAUGUCAAGGGCCGCAACAAGCCACUAAGAGCAUAUCUUGCUCUUAGGGUGAGAAAACAUGUGGUAAGCGCUCUCUUUUCCUUAAGAAAUUACAUUGCCGGUACUUGAUUCAAGUAUGGUACCAAAUAACCGCAUUUUUACUCUCUACAAUGCAAGACAUUGACAACAAGAACACAUCGGAGAAAUGCCAGUCCACCAGAUACACCUAAUACAGAACCUAAGCUACUCUAAGAGCGGGUGCAACAACAACUAGUAGGGGGAGAGGAAAAGUAGCUACAAAGAAGCCUAGAAGUUCAGCAUCGGGAGCACCUAUGACUGCUAGCACUGCUGCUCCAACAGAAUCUAGUAAGGGGAGAGAAAUAGGAGCAUCCAAAGUACCUAAAGGUACUCCUAAAACAUCAACUGGUAAGGGGAGAGGAAGAGGAGCACCUAAAGUAUCUGCAGCUAAAUUCCAGGUAAAAGAAUCACUUCUAGAAUAAAUGUAGGUGGCAAUAUUUUAUUGUUGUUUACAUCAUCUCAUAAUAUUCAGGUCCAAGAAUCACAUGCAUCAUUAUCAAGUGAUGCAGCAAUUGUGAGAGGAAGAGGGCCUGCUAGUAGUGGAACGGGGUUGCAUUUCAACCUAAUUAUGGACAUAAUAGAUCUUAUGGAAGAAGUUCAAGUGGGAGAAUGCACUCCUAGUUCACCAUUGGUGCUAGUGCAACUGCUACAGAUGGUGGUGCUAGAGAGGAGUAGCAAUUACCUCAUUUGAUAGCCUAUAUAGUUAAAAACUCAUGUCUCAUGUUUUUAUUUUGAACCCCUAUUAUGUUUUUAUUUUAAUAUCUCUAUCAUGUUGAACUCAUGCCUCAUGGAGAACUCAUAUGCAGAGUUUGAUUUGAUGAUGUUUACCUUCUUUGUGUAAUGGAUUAGGAAAAUGCAAUGUGGACAAAAGGCAUGUGUUCUGUCAAAAAUAUGGUAGCUUAUAUCAGACUUAUGCACAUCGUUAUGUGAUGACCCACAAGUAUAGGGGAUCAAUCGUAGUCCUUUCGAUAAGUAAGAGUGUCGAACCCAACGAGGAGCAGAAGGAUCUGACAAGUGGUUUUCAGCAAGCUAAAAUCUGCAGGCACUGAAAUUGUCGGUAACAAGUGAUUGUGUGGUGAGAUGAUUCGUAGCAAGCAACAAGUAGAAAAAGUAGAAAUGGUGUAGCAAAGUGGCCCAAUCCCUUUUGUAGCACAGGACUAGCCUGAAAAAAGUCUUAUAGGAGAAAAAACGCUCCUGAGGACACACGGGAAUUUCUGUCACGCUAGUUUCAUCAUGUUCAUAUGAUUCGCGUUUGUUACUUUGAUAGUUUGAUAUGUGGGUGGACCGGCGCUUGGGUACUUACCUUACUUGGACAAGCAUCCACUUAUGAUUAACCCCUCUCGCAAGCAGCCGCAACUACGAAAGAAGAAUUAAGACAAAGUCUAACCAUAGCAUUAAACUAGUGGAUCCAAAUCAGCCCCUUACGAAGCAACGCAUAAACUAGGGUUUAAGCUUCUGUCACUCUAGCAACCCAUCAUCUACUUACUACUUCCCAAUUCCUUCCUCUAGGCCCAAAUAAUGGUGAAGUGCUAUGUAGUCGACGUUCACAUAACACCACUAGAGGAAAAACAACAUACAACAUAUCAAAUUACCGAACGAAUACCAAAUUCACAUGACUACUAUUAGCAUGACUUAUCCCAUGUCCUCAGGAGCAAAAGUAACUACUCACAAAGCAUAAUCAUAUUCAUGACCAGAGAGGUAAUGAAUAGCAUCAAGGAUCUGAACAUAAACUCUUCCACCAAAUAAUCCAACUAGCAUCAACUACAAAGAGUAAUCAACACUACUAGCAACCUUACAAGUACCAAUCGGAGUCGCGAGACGGAGAUUGGUUACAAGUGAUGAACUAGGGUUUGGAGAUGAGAUGGUGCUGAUGAAGAUGUUGAUGGUGACGAGUCGCCUCCGAUGAGAGGAGUGUUGGUGAUGACGAUGGCGACGAUUUCCCCCUACGGGAGGGAAGUUUCCCCGGCAGGAUCGUCCUGCCGGAGCUCUAGAUUGGUUCUGCUCAAGUUCUGCCUCGUGGAAGCGGCGAAACCACGAAAAAGCUACUCCUUGAUUUUUUCCUGGAAAAAACCCUCCAUAUAGAAAAAGAGGGGAGCAAGUGGGCCAGUGGGCUGCCAACAAGCCCUCAUGGCGCGACCUGGGGGGGUGGCCACACCGUGCAGGCUUGUGGGCACCCCCUGGUGCCCCUCUUGCACUUCUUCGGCCCAGUAUUUUUGAUAAAUCGGGAAAAAAAAUCCUCGUUGAUUUUUACGGCAUUUGGAGUUGCGUAGGAUAGGUAUCUCAACUUUGCUCCACUUUCAGGCCAGAAUUCGAGUUGCCGGCAUUCCCCCUCCUCAUGUAUACCUUGCAAAAUAAGAGAGAAAAGGCAUAAGAAUAGUACCGUGAAGUGAAAUAACAACCAAUGAAGCGAUAGAUAUCAACAUGAAAACAUGAUGCAAAAUGGACGUAUCAACUCCCCAAGCUUAGACCUCGCUUGUCCUCAAGCGAAAGCCUAGCUCAAUAAAUAUGUCCACAUGUUUAGGGAGAGAGGUGUCGACAAAACAAGAUACGAACAUGCAUGCAUCAUGAUCAUGAUCAGAACAGCAAUACCAACAUAUAAUCUCUCAUGCUAAAGUGACAAUUCCUUCACAAAGUAAAGCAUGGAUCAAGAACCUUACCGAGAAGUAACAACCGAUAGCCUUUAGUCAUUGAAGCAAUUGCAAUUUAUGACAACAUCAGAAAGAGUCAAAUAAGAGCUUGUAAAGAAAACCCACAUACUCAAACAUUCUUUCGUCCUCUACAAUUGCUACAACUCACGUGGUACUCAUGAGAUCAAAGUUUCAGGUGGACACAUAGAAAGAUAGGGGCUUAUAGUUUUGCCUCCCAACUGCUUACCUCAAGGGUAAUGUCAACAAUAAUAAUUCAUGAAUACUUACCCCCCAAGUUGACAUAUGAAUAUAGAUCUUUCCCAAGCAUAUGACGGUAGCCAAGAUAAAGGCGGAAUAAGGAAUUGGUGAAGAUCACCAUGACUCUUUCAAGGGAAAAAAGUAAAGGUACAAGAUAGGCCCUUCGUAGAGGGAAGCAGAGGUUGUCAUGCGCUUUUGAGGUUUGGAUAGGUGCCCUGUUAGUGGGUAGGAACGUCACUUUAUAUUGCCCCCUGUGAUAAAGAACUUUAUUAUGCAGUCUGUCGCUUUUAUGUCUUCCUCAUCACAGGUUCGUAUAAAGCUUAUUUUCCACACACUAAUAGAUCAUACAUAUUAGAGAGCAAUUUUUAUUGCUUGCACCGAUGACAACUUACUUGAGGGAUAUUAUUCAAUCCAUAGGCAGGUAUGGUGGACUCUCAUGGCAAAAUGGGUUGAAGGUUUAUGGAUGCACAAGUAGCAUCUCUACUUAGUGCGGGAGGUUUGGCUAAUGUGAGGUGGAAGCAAUCGUCACAUGCAAAGGGAUCUCUAAUCAUAUAACAUUGUUCGGAACCAAGCAAACACAAUUCAUUAUGUUGUCUUCCUUGUCCAACAUCUACUUCUAGGCAUGCAAUAGUUUAGUGAGUGUUCACAAUCAUAGAUGGUGUCAGAGAUGAUAUAUUUAUAUGUGAACCUCUCCUUCUUUAUCACUUCCUAUUAAUUGCAACAAUGACCAAGGUCUACGUUUGCCUACCCUCAACAAGUUUCAAUCCUCAUUCUUUUUAUAUGUGAAGCCAUCACUUCCCAUAAGAUCAUUACAUGAUCUUUCAUGCUUUUGUUCUAUUCUCACUCUUUUGAUCAUGGCAAGAGGCAAAGCCCUUCAACUAAGAUACUCUUUAUUAUAUGGCUCACGAGCAAGAAUACAUUGGAGGUGACACAAAGCAAAACUCAAGACUAAAACACUAAGACUUUUAAACUACUAGAGAAAGAGAAAACUGAAAAGGAAAACUAAAACAAAAGGUAAAGGCAAAAGAUGUGAUGGUGAUACGAUACCGGGGCAACUCCCCCAAGCUUGGCACAAGCCAAGGGGAUUGCCCAUACCAAUGCUCAGUUGCCUUCCUUUGGUGGUGAUGGUGGAGUUGUUGCAACUUGAGUUUGAUCCUCCGUCUUCCAAGGCAUAGGUGCUCCAUCAUGGAAAGAUGAAUGAGUCUCCAGAAUCCUCAAAUUUGCAGCCAACCAUAUAGAUUUAAAUCUAUACUCAUACUCAGAGUUUUGGUUCUGUAGGUCAUAGAUCUGGGCCUGGAGUUGAUCAAUCCUGUCAUAGAGCCUGGAGAGGUGCUUUCUAAUGUCAUUGGCGUCAAUCCUGUGCUUGUUGGUGAACUCCGUGAUCAUCAUGUGGUUGGUGUUGAGUCCACGCUCCACCAUCCCUUCGCACUUGAAGACUUGUUGUUCCAUUGCUUCGAGCCUCGUCUCCAUGCUUCCGCUCUUCUUAGGCCCCUCAACAUCACGGAUGUGCAACAUCCCCUCUCGCAUCUCGAUAGAUUGAGGGUGUUGCAACACUCCCGUGAGGUAGGGAUUGAUGACCUUCUCGAAGAUCUUGUCCUUCGGAGCUUUUGGAGAAGUCAUAGCGAUCUAGAUCUGCAACAGAAACAGGCUCGACACAAAAAACAGAGGAAAUCUGCGUGAUGCAUGGGUCAGAGCAAAUGGAAGUAUAUAUAAUGAUUUUUUUCAGACCAGAAGGAGUACCUUGCACGAAAACGGAGUCCGCGAGGCCCAUGAGGUGGCCACAAGCCCUCACGACACGGCCAGGGGGUGGGCCCGCGCCGUGCAGGCUUGUAGCCUCCUCGCGCACUUUCCGCACUACUUCCAAUUUUUGUAUUUUUUCAAAUAUUCCAAAAUGGAGAAAAUUUCCUACUGGAAAAUUUUUGGACUGUGUUUUCUUACCGAAUCACAUACCUCUUCGUUUUCGGAGUCUGAAACAGGUUGAUAAAUAUCUCUUAGGUAUUCUUUCGGGGUUAUGGUAUUGAUGAUAUUGCUUUAAACAUUUAUGGGAGUACCUGAGAUAUAAUGCUUGAUUCUCUGCCCAUUUACCACUCUCGGACAAUUACCUUCCAUGUUGUUGAUCUUGAUAGCACUGAAACGAUAUACUUCCUCAACAACAUAGGGACCUUCCCAUUUAGAGAGAAGCUUGCCUGCAAAGAAUCUUAAACGAGAGUUAUAUAGCAAGACAUAAUCACCUACAUUGAACUCAUGUUUUUGUAUCCUCUUAUCAUGCCACCUCUUAACCUUCUCUUUGAACAACUUUGCAUUCUCAUAUGCCUGAGUUCUCCACUCAUCAAGCAAGCUAAUAUCAAAUAACCUCUUCUCACCGGCAAGUUUGAAAUCAAAGUUGAACUCUUUGAUUGCCCAAUAAGGUUUAUGCUCUAGCUCAAGAGGUAAAUGACAUGCUUUACCGUACACCAUUCUUUAUGGAGACAUGCCCAUGGGAUUCUUAUAGGCAGUUCUAUAAGCCCACAGUGCAUCAUCGAGCUUCUUAGACCAAUUCUUUCUAGACCUGUUGACGGUCUUUUGUAGAAUUAGUUUAAUCUCUCUAUUUCUUAGCUCUACUUGACCACUGGACUGAGGGUGAUAGGGAGACGCAAUUCUAUGGUUGACAUCAUACUUAGUAAGCGUUUUACGGAAAGCACCAUGAAUGAAGUGUGAACCACCGUCGGUCAUUAGAUAUCUAGGGACUGCAAAUCUAGGGAAGAUAACUUCUUUCAGCAUCUUGAUAGAGGUGUUGUGAUCAACACUACUAGUGGGGAUAGCUUCUACCCACUUAGUGACAUAAUCACAACAACUAGGAUGUGAGUAUACCCGUUGGAUUUUGGAAAAGGUCCCAUAUAAUCAAAGCCCCAAACAUCAAAUGGUUCAAUGACAAGUGAAUAGUUCAUAGGCAUUUCCUGAGUUUGCUAAUAUUACCUAUUCUUUGACAUUCGUCACAAGACAAGACAAACUUACGGGCAUCCUUGAAGAGAGUGGGCCAACAGAAACCUGAUUGCAAUAGCUUGUGUGCAGUUCUAUCUCCCGCAUGGUGUCCUCCGUAGGCCUCGGAGUGAAACUUCUGCAGGAUCUGUCCCUGUUCUUGUUCAGGUACACAACGUCUAAUAACACCAUCUAUUCCUUCCUUAUAAAGGUGAGGAUCAUCCCAAAAGUAGUGUCUCAAGUCAAAGAAGAAUUUCUUAUUUUGCCGGUAUGUGAAACUAGGUGGUAUGUAUUUGGCAACGAUGUAGUUUGCAUAAUCAGCAUAGCAUGAUGCACUACGUGAAGCAUUGAUGACAUUCAAUUGCUCAUCGGGAAAGCUAUCAUCAAUAGGUUGUGGGUCAUCAAGGACGUUCUCCAACCUAGACAAGUUAUCUGCUACUGGGUUAUCAGCACCCUUUCUGUCAACAACGUGCAAAUCAAAUUCUUGUAGCAAGAGAACCCAUCUAAUAACUCUAGGUUUAGCGUCUUUCUUGUCCAUGAGGUACUUAAUAGCAGCAUGAUGAGUGUGAAUAGUGACUUUGGAAUCAACUAUGUAAGAUCUGAAAUUUUCACAUGCAAACACGACUGCUAAAAAUUCCUUUUCCGUAGUGGCAUAGUUUCUCUGGGCACUGUCUAGAGUUUUACUAGGGUAGUGAAUAACAUUCAACUUCUUAUCAAGUCUUUGCCCUAGAACAACACCAACAUCAUAGUCACUAGCAUCACACAUGAUCUCAAAAGGAAAGUUCCAAUCAGGUGGUUGAACAAUAGGUGCAGUUAUCAAAGCCCUCUUAAGUAUUUCGAAGGCUUCCUCACAAUCAUCGUCAAAGACAAAAGGAAUAUCCUUUUGCAAGAGAUUGGUAAGAGGCCUAGAAAUCUCAGAGAAGUCUUUAAUGAAUCUUCUAUAGAAACCAGCAUGACCAAGGAAACUUCUUAUACCUUUGAUAUCUAUGGGGUAUGGCAUUUUCUCGAUUGCAUCAACCUUAGCCUUAUCGACUUCAAUACCUCUUUCAAAAAUUUAUGUUCUAAGACGAUGCCUUCAUUAACCAUAAAGUGGCACUUCUCCCAAUUCAACAUAAGAUUGGUGUCUGUACAUCUCUGUAAGACUCGAUCAAGGUUGCUGAGGCAAUCAUCAAAGGAAGACCCGUAAACGGAGAAGUCAUCCAUGAAAACCUUAACAAUCUUUUCACAAAAGUCAGAGAAUAUAGCCAUCAUACAUCUUUGAAAGGUGGCAGGUGCAUUACAUAAGCUAAAAGGCAUACAUCUAUAAACAAAGGUACCGAAAGGGCAGGUGAAAGUGGUUUCUCCUGAUCAUAUUGUGCAACUAGUAUUUGGGAGAAACCAGAAUAACCGUCUAGAAAGGAGAAGUGUGUGUGUUUAGACAGCCUUUCUAGAAUUUGGUCGAUAAAAGGCAGAGGGUAAUGAUAUUUCCUAGUGGCCUUAUUCAACUUCAUAAAAUCAAUCACCAUCCUAUAGCGAGUAAUAAUCCUCUGUGGGAUCAAUUCAUCCUUAUCAUUAGGGACAACGGUAAUGCCUCCCUUCUUAGGAACGCAAUGCACCGGACUUACCCAAUCGCUAUGAGCAAUAGGAUAGAUAAUACCCGCUUCUAGGAGCUUUAGUAUUUAUUUUCUUACUACUUCUUUCAUCUUAGGAUUUAAUCUCCUUUGAUGAUCAACAACUGGUUUGAAAUCAGGAUCAGUUUUGAUCUUGUGCUGGCAUAGAGUGGGACUAAUGCCCUUAAGAUCAUCAAGAGUAUAUCCAAUAGCAGCACGACGCUUCCUCAGAGUUUUUAGUAACUUAUUUUCUUCAUGCUCCGAGAGGCUAGCACUAAUUAUAACAGGAUAUAUCUCUUUUUCAUCAAGAUAGGCGUACUUAAGAGUAUGCGGCAACUGUUUAAGCUCGAACACAGGAUCACCCUUUGGUGGGGGUGGAUCCCCAAGCAGUUCAACAUGCAAGUUAUUCUUAACGAUAGGAUAUUGUUCCAAGACAACUCUAUCUAUUUCAGCCCUUUCAUCCAUAUGCAUAUCAUUUUCAUGCUCAAGCAAGUAUUGCUCUAAGGGAUCAGUAGGAGGCACAUCAAUAGAAGCUAAGGCAAUAGUUUCAUCCUUACUAGGCAACUCCUUUUCAUGAGGUUGUCUACCAAACUUAGAGAAACUGAACUCAUGUGACACACCUUCAAAGCCAACAGUGACAGUUUGCUUCUCACAAUCAAUAUGAGCAUUGGCAGUAUUGAGAAAAGGUCUGCCAAAUAUGAUGGGACAAAAGCUAUCUUGUGCGGUAGCAAGAACGAGGAAAUCAGCAGGAUACUUCGUUUUACCACACAAGACUUCAACAUCCCUAACAAUUCCGACAGGGCAGAUAGUAUCUCUAUUGGCAAGCUGAAUAGUGACAUCUAUAGGUUCUAUCUCUACAGGUGCAAUCUCAUCUUUGAUUUCAUCGUAUAAGGAUUGAGGUAUUGCACUAACACUAGCACCCACGUCACAUAAGCCAUGAUAACAAUGAUCUCCUAUCUGAACAGAAACCACAUGCAUACCAACAACAGGCCUAUGUUUGUCUCUAGCGUGAGGUUUAGCAAUUCUAGCAGCAUCUUCACAGAAGUGAAUAUUAUGUCCCUCAACAUCGUCGGACAGAAGAUCUUUGAUGAUAGCAAUGCUAGGUUCAACUCUAAUCUGCUCUGGGGGUGUAGGUGUUCUAAUGUAGCCUCUACAUAUCACAGUUGAAGCUUUAGAAUGAUCCUUUAUCCUAAUAGGGAAAGGUGGUUUCUGAAUGUAGGCACUGGGAACAAUAGGAUCGUUAUAGGGAAUGAAUUUCUCUUCAACAGGAGUGGGUUUAACUACAUUGACUUCUAAAGGAGGAUGAUAUUUAAACCACUUCUCUCUAGGGAGAUCAACAUGAGCAGCAAAGGAUUCACACAAUGAAGCUACUAUCUUAGAGUCAAGUCCAUACUUAGUGCUAAAGUCACAAAAAGUAUUUGUCUCAACAAAGGAUUUAACGCAAUCAAACAUGAAAUUCAUACCUGACUCCUUACCUUCUUCAAGCUCCCAAUCUUGAGAGUUGCGUUUGAUUCUCUCCAAUAAAUUCCAUUUGAAGUCAAUAUCUCUCUUCAUAAAAGAACCGGUACAAGAAGUGUUAAGCAUGGUGCGAUCAUCAUGAGAAAGCCGAGCAUAGAAAUUCUGAAUGAUAAUUUCUCUCGAGAGCUCAUGAUUGGGGCAUGAAUAUAGCAUUGAUUUAAGCCUCCCCCAAGCUUGAGCGAUGCUUUCUCGAUUGUAGUCUCAUGAUCCAGUAUCAUCACAUAGCCUAUACCAUGUCAACGCCUUAUCCUUCAAAGAUAAAGGAAAGACCUUCUUCUUGACCUCAUCCUUGGGCACACCUGCAAGCUUAAAUAAACCACUAACCUCAUCUACAUAGAUUAGAUGCAAGUCCAGAUGUGAUGUUCCAUCUCCUGUAAAAGGAUUAGCUAGCAGUUUCUCAAGCAUAUCCGAAGGAAAUUGAAAGCAAAUAUUUUCAGUAGGUGCAGCAGGUUGAGGAGCAACUCUUUGUGCUUCUGUUUGAGGUGAAGAUACCCCGAACAAGCCCCUCAAAGGAUUAGUAUCCAUAGUGACAAGUGACAACAAAUUUCAGCACACUAUAUGAAUGUUUCCUUACCAAGUUCCACUUACCAAAGGCGCUUCACUCCCCGGCAACGGCGCCAGAAAAGAGUCUUGAUGACCCACAAGUAUAGGGGAUCAAUCGUAGUCCUUUCGAUAAGUAAGAGUGUCGAACCCAAUGAGGAGCAGAAGGAUCUGACAAGUGGUUUUCAGCAAGGUAAAAUCUGCAGGCACUGAAAUUGUCGGUAACAAGUGAUUGUGUGGUGAGAUGAUUCGUAGCAAGCAACAAGUAGCAAAAGUAGCAACGGUGCAACAAUGUGGCCCAAUCCCCUUUUUAGCAAGGGACAAGCCUGGACAAAGUUUUAUAGGAGGAAAAACGCUCCCGAGGACACACGGAAAUUUCUGUCAUGCUAGUUUCAUCAUGUUCAUAUGAUUCGCGUUCGUUACUUUGAUAGUUUCAUAUGUGGGUGGACCGGUGCUUGGGUACUGCCUUACUUGGACAAGCAUCUCACUGAUGAUUAACCCUCUCGUAAGCAUCCGCAACUACAAAAUAAGAAUUAAGACAAAGUCUAACCAUAGCAUUAAACUAGUGGAUCCAAAUCAGCCCCUUACAAAGCAACGCAUAAACUAGGGUUUAAGCUUCUGUCACUCUAGCAACCCAUCAUCUAAUUACUACUUCCCAAUGCCUUCCUCUAGGCCCAAAUAAUGGUGAAUUGUUAUGUAGUCGACGUUCACAUAACACCACUAGAGGAAAAACAACAUACAACAUAUCAAAUUACCGAAUGAAUACCAAAUUCACAUGACUACUAUUAGCAUGACUUAUCCCAUGUCCUCGGGAACAAAAGUAACUACUCACAAAGCAUAAUAAUAUUCAUGACCAGAGAGGUAAUGAAUAUCAUCAAGGAUCUGAACAUAAACUCUUCCACCAAAUAAUCCAACUAGCAUCAAUUACAAAGAGUAAUCAACACUACUAGCAACCUUACAAGUACCAAUCGGAGUCGCGAGACGGAGAUUGGUUACAAGUGACAAACUAGGGUUUGGAGAUGAGAUGGUGCUGAUGAAGAUGUUGAUGGUGACGAGUCCCCUCCCAUGAGAGGAGUGUUGGUGAUUACGACGACGACGAUUUCCCCCUCCGGGAGGGAAGUUUCCCCGGCAGGAUCGUCCUGCCGGAGCUCUAGAUUGGUUCUGCUCAAGUUCCUCCUCGUGGCAGCGACGAAACCACGAAAAAGUUCCUCCUUGAUUUUUUUCCUUGACGAAACCCUCCAUAUAGCAAAAGAGAGGAGCAAGUGGGCUAGUGGGCUGCCCACAAGCCCUCAUGGCGUGGCCUGGGGGCAUGGCCGCGCCGUGCAGGCUUGUGGGCACCCCCUGUUGCCCCUCCGGCACUUGUUCGGCCCAGUAUUUUUGAUAAAUCGGGAAAAAAAUCCUCAUUGAUUUUUACGUUAUUUGGAGUUGCGCAGAAUAGGUAUCUCAACUUUGCUCCACUUUCAGGCCAGAAUUCCAGUUGCCGUCAUUCUCCCUCUUCAUGUAAACCUUGCAAAAUAAGAGAGAAAAGACAUAAGAAUAGUACCGUGAAGUGAAAUAGUAGCCAAAGAAGCGAUAAAUAUCAACAUGAAAACAUGAUGCAAAACUGAUUCAUAUACAUUAUUGUCAGUUUCACAUGCUAUCAAAAUUGUCGUUCCAAAGUACAAAAAUAAUCCCGCAGCUCUUACAUACAUGGUUUGAUGAAGAGAAAUAGACAAGCAAAAAUAAUAGUUUGAAUUUCUUUCAUCACAUUGAUAUUUGUCCAAAUUCCUACAUACAUAUCGGUAGUUUAAUACUACCACAAAAAUCACACUUCAACGUCACUAGGUCAAUACAACAUCACUAGUUCACUACUUUACAUAUAUAACCACACUCCACCAUCACCAACAGACUCAAAUACACGUAAAGUGGAUGUAGCUACAUUCAGUCACUCAAUUGUUGUCCAAGUACGUCACAACAACAACAACAGCUGCAAACAGAAGCACGACAAAUGAAAUGCCAAGCUCUUUUUUCAUCUGCACCAAGCUGAGCAACUUCACGGCACACAACUCAUGCACUGUUAGCAGCUCAUCAUUCUUCAUGAAAAUGGCUUCUAGGUGAUACAUCAAACCAGCUACCACAUAAUCACUAGAGGAGUUAAUUGCAUCCCUAUUCACACAUACAAUAGGCCAACAAUGUUUGUACAUGGACUUGCAAGGAGAAACAAUUCAGAGGAAGAAAUAAGCUUGCUGACC